RNAcentral lists this ribosomal RNA (975 nucleotides) under Corynebacterium sp. Its description in RNAcentral is "bacterial SSU rRNA". It matches the Rfam family "Bacterial small subunit ribosomal RNA", at positions 56 to 1042 of the family's 1533-position model. The record is from RNAcentral. Lineage: Bacteria; Bacillati; Actinomycetota; Actinomycetes; Mycobacteriales; Corynebacteriaceae.
UGCAAGUCGACGGAAGGCCCCAGCUUGCUGGGGUACUCGAGUGGCGAACGGGUGAGUAACACGUGGGUGAUCUGCCCUGCACUUUGGGAUAAGCUUGGGAAACUGGGUCUAAUACCGAAUAUGACCACUUCUUGGAUGUUGUGGUGGAAAGCUUUUGCGGUGUGGGAUGAGCCUGCGGCCUAUCAGCUUGUUGGUGGGGUAAUGGCCUACCAAGGCGGCGACGGGUAUCCGGCCUGAGAGGGUGUACGGACACAUUGGGACUGAGAUACGGCCCAGACUCCUACGGGAGGCAGCAGUGGGGAAUAUUGCACAAUGGGCGCAAGCCUGAUGCAGCGACGCCGCGUGGGGGAUGAAGGCCUUCGGGUUGUAAACUCCUUUCGCUAUCGACGAAGCCACUUGUGGUGACGGUAGGUAGAUAAGAAGCACCGGCUAACUACGUGCCAGCAGCCGCGGUAAUACGUAGGGUGCAAGCGUUGUCCGGAAUUACUGGGCGUAAAGAGCUCGUAGGUGGUUUGUCGCGUCGUCUGUGAAAUCCCGGGGCUUAACUUCGGGCGUGCAGGCGAUACGGGCAUAACUUGAGUGCUGUAGGGGAGACUGGAAUUCCUGGUGUAGCGGUGAAAUGCGCAGAUAUCAGGAGGAACACCGAUGGCGAAGGCAGGUCUCUGGGCAGUAACUGACGCUGAGGAGCGAAAGCAUGGGUAGCGAACAGGAUUAGAUACCCUGGUAGUCCAUGCCGUAAACGGUGGGCGCUAGGUGUAGGGGGCUUCCACGUCUUCUGUGCCGUAGCUAACGCAUUAAGCGCCCCGCCUGGGGAGUACGGCCGCAAGGCUAAAACUCAAAGGAAUUGACGGGGGCCCGCACAAGCGGCGGAGCAUGUGGAUUAAUUCGAUGCAACGCGAAGAACCUUACCUGGGCUUGACAUGUACCGGAUCGGGCUAGAGAUAGUCUUUCCCUUGUGGUCGGGAUACAGGUGGU